Macaca mulatta (Rhesus monkey) is the source of this 116-nucleotide unclassified non-coding RNA. It matches the Rfam family "Metazoan signal recognition particle RNA". Rfam says of the family: The signal recognition particle (SRP) is a universally conserved ribonucleoprotein. The record is from Ensembl. Lineage: Eukaryota; Metazoa; Chordata; Mammalia; Primates; Cercopithecidae.
GCUGGACAUGGUGGCUCAUGUCUGUAAUCCCAACACUUGGGAGGCUGAGGUGAGAGGAUCACUUGAGCCCAGGAGUUUGAGACUAGCCUGGGCAACAUAGUGAGACCCCAUCUCUA